Molecule: transfer RNA, 77 nt
Filed under: Actinomycetota bacterium
Lineage: Bacteria; Bacillati; Actinomycetota
Description: tRNA-Leu
Rfam family: tRNA
About the family: Transfer RNA (tRNA) molecules are approximately 80 nucleotides in length. Their secondary structure includes four short double-helical elements and three loops (D, anti-codon, and T loops). Further hydrogen bonds mediate the characteristic L-shaped molecular structure. tRNAs have two regions of fundamental functional importance: the anti-codon, which is responsible for specific mRNA codon recognition, and the 3' end, to which the tRNAs corresponding amino acid is attached (by aminoacyl-tRNA synthetases). tRNAs cope with the degeneracy of the genetic code in two manners: having more than one tRNA (with a specific anti-codon) for a particular amino acid; and 'wobble' base-pairing, i.e. permitting non-standard base-pairing at the 3rd anti-codon position.
Source: RNAcentral
GCCCCCGUAGCCCAACAGGCAGAGGCAGACCCCUUAAAAGGGUCCAAGUGUCGGUUCGAAUCCGACCGGGGGUACCA